This is a long non-coding RNA of Alligator mississippiensis (American alligator), 2517 nucleotides long. RefSeq lists it as uncharacterized. The record is from RefSeq and is a predicted model, not a curated record. Lineage: Eukaryota; Metazoa; Chordata; Crocodylia; Alligatoridae. The transcript has 3 exons.
CAAGCUAUUCAAAUUAGUACCAGGUUUACUGGCAAGUUCUACUACUGUAAAUGCAGCUGACACUAGAAAAAGUCCUUUUGCUAAAAAGUUUUUACAAGUCCUAUGAGAAAAAGGAUUCCACAUCUAGGACUUUUGCUGGGGAAAAUAAACAAUCAAACCUCCUAACCAAAAACUACAGAAAGCCCAUAACUGUUCAUAUCCCUCCCACUCAUUGGGGAGCUGUAAUAGUCAAGACAUAACAUGCAUCAGGGUAAAGAAUACAUAUAUAGUACACAACUGCAGCUAACAUACCUAAUUUUGUAACUAGUGCCCCAAAUCCUGCAAGUACUCAUGCACACCUUUAGCUUUAAGCAUGUGAGUUUAAUUCCAUUAAAGUCAUAAGAAAGGUGUAAAUUGUUAUUAGUGUGGCUACUUGUUCACAGAGUCCAGCACAUGUGUAAGCAUUUGCUUCCUUCUGCACCUGCGAAUACCAAGCAGAGCGAAAAACACCAUGGUCUAGGCUUAACCAGGGAACAAACUAUAUCAAAACUGUUAAGUGAAUUUACAAAGUCCAGUCACAGUAAAAGGUUGGUUGAUAUGGUUGUGUAACAGGAGUUGGAGAAAAUAUCUGCAUAUGUUUCAUAGCAUCAUAGUUUAUUUUAAAAAAAAAAGCUUUCCAAGGGGGAAAACCAGUGGAGUUGCAUACUCCUCAGAGAGCUUCCUCCUGGAUUCCACACUUGCUUCCCUUUCUCUCUUAAUAGAUCACAGUUAGUUUUAGUGAAGAGGUUUUGUCCUGGAACAAGGAUCUUAUUAGGGAGAAUUAUUCUGAGUUGUGAUGAGGAUGAAGAUCUGAAUCAGAUACAGUUUCACAAAGGCUGUCUUCUUUAUAGUAUAACUAAGUCUUCCAUCCAUCUCUGAUCGGAAAUGACUGACCUGCACACCCUAACCGUUCACAACAAUUAAGACAUAAACCUGCUGCAGGAAAACAGUGCAUAUCCAUGUGGCAUCCAAGCAAUGAUCAACCAGAUUUUUCCUUCAACGAGCCUUAGAGUUAUGUGACCGUUGUAAUCCCAUGUUCCUCUAAACAUCGACUGACAUAGCCCAGUUUGGCAGUCUAAUGGGAAUUUUGCCUCAAUAGGGACUGAAGAAAUAGGCAUAAAAGGUUCCAGUCCCUCAGUAAGCAAGAGUCAAAGCUUGUGAAACCAGGGGUGUAAGCCAUGCAGGAAAUUAUGAGGUAAUAGGUAUAGCUGAGAUGUAAGAUAUGCCUGUAGUGGGGCUCAGAACAGAAGUAAUGAGCGUGAUUGGAGUAAGCUGGGAUAAGGGAACAUGUGGACUGGCCUGCAGGAAAAGGUGAAAGGAGAUGCAUUAGCCAAACAACAGGAGGCAUGUUAAGUGAGACAAUAUAUGCGAGCAAGAACAUAAAGUGAGGACUAAGCUGUCCCAGGCUGGUGAAACUGAGCAAGGGAUCAGAGCACAUGCUGAUCUGGGCAGAAAUUCAGAGCUCCCACACGUUCCCCCACACAAGACAUGCCGGGUGGUAGGAGAAUGUUCAACCCUUCAAAGAGAAAUCGAGCAACGUGGAGGCAUGAGCAGCCUCAGACACCUGUGGAUUUGCAAACCCACUGAGAUGCUAGCUGGAGUGGGAAAAGCAGAAUCUGAGGCCCGUCUCGGUACGCACUGACCUACCUGUUCUCAUCGGGGCAGAUCCAGAACAGUCAUUAGCUAGCACUGUAGCUGGAUGGCUGAAGGUAAAAACAUAACUCUCUCUGUCCCACUCCCACACAUCCAGAGGACUGUUUGUGCUUACUCCUAUUUAGUACCUGAUAGGGUCAUAAAUGCUCAGAGCUGCCUGCUGUGUCAGAUCCCCAGAGACCACACUACCCACGCAACUCACUCCAUGGCUGCACUGCAAAUUGAGGAAGCGGUGAGGAAAAGUGUUGUGGGCAAAAUUCUCAGUGGACAAAACCUGGCAUAGUGCAGAUGAAUUACGUGAAAUCAUGCCAAUUUAUAUUGGCUCAGGAUCUGGCCCCGUAUCAAGACAACUCCUGAAGGCUAGCAACCAGAAAUGCGCUGAAGCCUAGUAGUAGGGUACAUCCUAACUUAAAGCAAAGCAGGCAUUUUAAGUGUGAAAGCAGAAGGUAAAUGCAUAUGUAGGGUAAAUGCUCAUUCAGGGAAGAACUUGUUAACGCAUGCAGGGGAUCAGGUAGUGAGCUGUCGUGCCAAGGGUUCACUACUGGGGAAUCUCCUCUGUGAGCCACUAGUUGCUUGACACACGAAUACCACCACCACACCAUUGGAUUCAGGAAUUGACUUUCACACUCUUGCAUCCUGUUAUUUAAUCUGGGCUGAAUGGCCUCCAGAGAACUCGCUUCCACAUCCACCUUAGGAAUGUGACAAGCUCUACUUUACAGCCAAGGGAUCCCACACACUCAUUUCCUGAAUUGAACUGAAUGCUGGGUUUUGGUUUAUUUUUAACAGGAGGAAUCAAAACUUGUAUUUUUGUACUAAGCUGCUGUAAUAAAUGGAGUUUACAGGCCA